Molecule: ribosomal RNA, 561 nt
Filed under: Oceanobacillus sp.
Lineage: Bacteria; Bacillati; Bacillota; Bacilli; Caryophanales; Bacillaceae
Description: bacterial SSU rRNA
Rfam family: Bacterial small subunit ribosomal RNA
Source: RNAcentral
GUCGAGCGCGGGAGCAGUUGAUCCCUUCGGGGUGACACUGUGGACGAGCGCCGGACAGGUGAGUAUCACGUGUGCAACCUGCCUGUGUGAUUGGGAUAUCUCUCGGAAACGUGUGCUAAUACCGAAAAAUACUUUUUGCCUCCCGGGAAGAAAAUAAAAGGCGGCUUUUAUCUGUCACUUACACAUGGGCCCCCGGCGCACUAUCUAUUUGGUGAGGUAACGGCUCACCAAGGCGACAAUACGUAUCCCACAUGUGAGGGUGAUCGGCCACACUGGGACUGAGACACGGCCCACACUCCUACAGGAGGCAGCACUAUGGAAUCUUCCCCAAUGGACAAAAGUCUGACAGAGCAACGCCCCGUGAGUGAUGAAGGUUUUCGGAUCGCAAAACUCUGUUGUCACGGAAAAAAAAGUGCGAGAGUAACUGCUCUCGCCUUGACGGUACCUGACCACAAAGCCACGGCUAACUACAUGCCACCACCCGCGGUAAUACAUAUGUGGCACGCGUUGUCCGGAAUUAUUGUGCGUAUAGCGCUCUCACGCGGUCUUUUAAGUCUGAUG